ACAUAGAUAGAAAAUUUGGCCCAAUUGAUUGGAUUUAGUUACAAAUUUCAAAUUCAAAUUUAAAAUACAGAAGAAAUGGUAAUUUUUCAUAUCCCAAGAUUGAGGCAAAACGAUUGCAUUGCUGAAGUUUGAGACACAAAUCCAAUUUGAAAUGCACUAGAAAUGAUAAUCAUAUUGGCAUAUCUUGUGACUGUGGCUGGCAUUAAUCAAGUCUACUAUCAAGAGAUACCUGAGGAAAAAAAAAAGCGAAGUGACCUCGUACUAGUCAAACUUACCCCAAAAUGGGCACAAAAUUGAAAAUAAACAAUUGCUAGAAUCACAACUGUGAAAAUGCAGUUAUAGAGGCUUUUUUAUCCCUAAGUGUCCGGGUUUGCAAAUCAACCAAUGCCCCAAUUAGAUUCGAAAAAUGGACACCUACUAACCCACUACCAAUAACAUUAACAAACCAACAAGCAUGUGUCUUCUAUCAAGAGAUAGGGGACUUAUCCAUGGCAAAAUAACCUUGGACUUAUGUAUGUCUUGUGAGAUGACAGUGGCAUAGGCAGCAACCAAAUCUCAAGAAUGAAUAUAAGAGUGAGCCUUCAGAGGCUGAGGCUUUUGUAAUAUUUCUUUUUCCUUUCUCAUCUUUGAAACCUUCUACUCUGCCAAGCCUCCCUUUAUUAAAAAUAAAAAUAUAAAAAUAUAAAAACAUAAAAAACAGAAAAAUAAGAAGAAUGAAUAGAAGAUUCUUCUUUUGAAUCGUGAAAUAUAUUACAACGGCCAAAAGCUGGUGACAGAUAAAGACGAGAUUACUGAAUAUGGGAAUGUGAACAAAUGCCCUAGGGGCAAUGAGCAAAUGCGCCCUCUGCUUUUUGAUUGUAAAUGUCAUGACUACUCUCUAAUUGAUUCAAAAAAAAAAAGUGAUAUCAAUAGCUACAAGCUCCUUAAGAUUUAGGUCAUGGAAAGCCAAUUAAUUCCACAUCAAUGUUUUUGAACUGCUAUAAUACCUCAAACAAGCAGUCUGUUAACUAAAUGAAUCAUGGAAAGCAAGUUAUGUUCAGAUUGAAUUGCACCUAAGCAGCAAGCCUACAAUAGUUAGGACUACAAAAGGACUAUGCCUCCCAAAUAUCUGACCUAAACCUGGAUUAAGUGAGACUCAAUCAUACCCAAACGAUAUGAAGUCUCUACAUCCCACUUUCGUAUGAACUUAUGCUUCAAAAUUCCAUUUUCUACCCAAUGAGUUACCGAGCCAAUGAUUUGAUUAGAGAGAAAAGGAAGCAGUUCCUUUACUCUCUUGAACUUGGACCUCUUAUAGAAAAUAAUAGAAAAUAUAGAAAAAAAUUUAAGUAGGGGCUUUCAUUAAUUGAUCAUAUAUUGAUAUACAGUACCUUUAUUUAUACUAGUGAUGUCAGCCUUUGAGAACUCAAAUUGGAUUACUUUUAUAUUUAAAGGAUGUAAAAAUUAUACCAAGACAAAAUUUAUCCUGCAGCUUUCGACUUCUACAUGAACUUUAUACUCCACCAUAUUAUUUAAUUCUUCUUUACUUGGAACAUACCUAAUCAAAAUCUUAUUCAAAAGAAAUUUUUACUUUGAUUGGUUUGUUUCUAGGCCCAAAUAUCACCAAAUCUUUGCAUCAGUGGAGUGCAACCAACCCCUUAAGGGUGGUCACACCUCAUAAUAUUCGUCAAGGGCUUUUUUUUGAUGCCUAGAAUGCCAAAAUAGGUAUAUAAUAAAGUUAUAGCCUUCAGAAAUUAUAAUUCAUGAUCAAGUCCUAGAUAUAGAAGAUCUUAUGCCCAAACCCCAUCUAGACCCAUCUAAGAAGCGACCGAAUUGGUGUACAAUAGUUUCAGUGAUCCUCCUGGACAACUAUGAUUUUCAUAAUGCCAAUGGAUUUUCCUGUAAUACCUAGUUAUACACAAAUAUUUUCUAUUCCUUCAUAAGAAGUUUAUAAAGUUUAAAUAAUAUUUGUUGAUGUUUAAAGUAUUCUACACCUAAAAUUAUCAAGUUACAGCAGUUAAUCUUGACUCAACUUGGACUUGGAUUUGGACCAACCUAAGCCAAACCAUUUCCUCCACUUGAUCUGACCAAUAUAUAGGUUGGGUUGGAUCUAGAUAGUAGAUCCAUAUUUAAAUGGGAUUCUAUAUGGAUCAAUCAAAUUCUCAACCCAACCCAAUCUAGGGGUGCCAAUCCAUCAAUCAGUUGAGUUCAAGUCAGAUUGAAAACACAUAUCAAGACCCAUAGGGCCUAACCAAAACCCAACCUAACCUGCCAGUUGGUUAAGAACACCUGACCCAAAAUUGGCUCAUAGUCAACCAACUGACCUGCAUCCACACGCUAACCCAUUUUAUUUGGUCCAAAGCCAUCUAAUUAUAGGUUUCACUAAUCCACAUCAUAUAACAUAACAGAGUAAAUAAAAAAAAGAAUAUAAAUCAUAAAUCUUUAAACAAAUCAAUCACUUACCACUUAUGUGUGUAUAUAUAGAACUGUCCACAAUAGUGGGUGUUAAGAGUACUUAUAUUUUUACAAUAGGAAAUCUGGCACUUCGUGAUACAACAAAACAUAUAAGUGUACAUUAUCACUUUGCUUGACAUGUUUGUAGGACAGAAUGUCUUUUGCCAAAAGAUUCAUGUAGACAAAAAUCUAAUGCAACAUACUGAAAAUGCUUAUCGAUAGAGAGAAGUCCAUCUCAUGUAAAGAAUCUAUUGGACUUAAUCUUAUGCAAUAAUUAGUGAAAUUGGAUAGUGGUCUCUUGAAUACUAUUGAUGUUUAAUAUGCCAAGAGUGAUGUUGAAGAAAAUCUUUAUGAAGAUUCGAUGAGUAAGACUUGGGCCCACUCAAGCAUGAGUUUUUGUGGAAACCCUAACGAUCUAUCUACAUCUAGAGGUUCAAAGCAGGCAAAGCCGAAACUAGCCUCAACAGUGUGUUGGGUUGCCUUGGUGUGGAUGUUAUUUUCGGCUAAGUGUUGUGCUUGGGUUCAUGUCUGUGUUUAAGCAUGGCCAAAAUUACCAUGCAGAGUUCAAUUUGGAUUGUGUGUUGCAUAUGGGUUAGCUUAGUUUUGACUUUCUUCGUAUUAUUGUUGGUUCAAGCUAGGGUGCUUGUAUUGGUAUUGGUUUAUAUUUGUAUUACUAUUUCUUAUUAUCAUAGGAGUGAAAUGGAGAAGCGAGAUGUAAGUGGGUUGUGAGCUUUGAGAUUAGGGUUGUUUUGCCUUUUUGGUUUAUGUACCUCUAGGCAUCUUUGUGGAAAUAGAAAACCCCAACGAUCUAUCAACAUCUAGAGGUAUAAAGCAGGUUAGGAAUCUUUAGAGUAUGCCUUCCAACAUGUGGGCAAAAAUCAUGCAAAGCUGAAGCAAGCCUCAACAGUGAGUUGGGUUGCCUUGGUUUGGAUGUCAUUUUUGGCUAAGUGUUGUGUUUGGGUUCGUCUGUGUUUAAGCAUAUGCGGAAUGUUGCAAAAACUCAUAAUGGCCAAAAUUUCCAUGCAGAGUUCAAUUUAGAUUGUGUGUUGCAUCUAGGUUGGCUUAAUUUUGACUUUCUUCGUAUCUUUGUUGGUUUAGCUAGCGUGCUUACAUUGGUAUUGGUUUAUAUUUGUAUUACUAUUUCUUACUAUUAUAGGGGUGAAAUGGAGAAGCGAGAUGUGAGUGGGUUGUGAGCUUUGAGAUUAGGGCUGUUUUGCCUUUCAUGAACCCCUAGGCAUCCUCUUCAAAGCUUUAUAGCUUAAAUCUAAUAAGCGAUCAUGUUCCUAAAUGGAAUGCUCGUUGAAUUAUCAAAAUCUCCAUCUUACUUACCAUUAUUCCUUGCUUCAAUUAGCCUAAAACUGAACAAUUCCAUCCCGUCUCACCCUCAAUUGAUCAUAUCAUGAAAUCAAUUAUCAUUAAUUGAGCUCAAAUAUAUUAUAACCAACUGCAUCAUUUAAGCCAUUUUCCCCAAUUUUAAAUUCUAAAAUCUCCCACUUUUCACCCACUGACAUUUCAAACUCAAUUCACUCAUUCCUCGACCCAACACCAUUUAAUAAAUUGUAAGCUCAAUUAAACAGAAAUCCCACUAAUUCCAUCAAUUAAUUGAAUGAACUUAAUAUUCAAGUUCACUCGAUCAAGCUCAAUUCACUGAUUCGAUCCAAUUAUCUCUCAAUUGACCGCCAAUUCCACCUUAUUUCUAACUUAAUUUAAUAUUUUUAAGUCAAAUUAAACUUUUCCACAAUUAAAUUGGCCAAUGUAAUACAUUUACAAGUCGAUUGGACUCGAUCUAUUCAAUUUUGAGCUUCUUUUCUUUUUUUGAAAUCUAGUCCAACGGCUUCUAAUAGCACUCUACUUCGACCUGUAGCCUCUCCUUAUAGCCUAGAUGUUCCUAUUUUAUAUUUUCUGAACAUAUCUACUCCUACCAACAAAAAUCACCAUAAAAAUAUCCAAAACUUUGCGUAAAAAUCAACCAAAAAUCGGUGAGAAUACAAACUAGAUUUGAUUGUUAUAGCUCUAACAAACUUACGCUCCCAAAAGCCAAUUGAAGUGAAAGGUUCUAUGUCUCAUAUCUUGGAGAAAGCAUGUAAGCCAUUAACUCAAAUAUUUUUGUACCAUGAUCCACAACUCUCCCCUAAGCCAAUCCUAGGAUGCAACUUGGCAUCAUCUAAACCUAUUUUCCAUUCAAAAAUUUUAAAUUCAGCAACUGAUCUUUCUCUCACCUAUCAAUAAAUAGCUCCAUGGUCCAUUCUUCCAGCCCCUCUUCUCAUUUGAUCUCCUAGCCUUAGAAUCCCCUUAGCUUCCCUUCUUCUUUCUGCUUCUUAUCUCUCUAUUAUUUCGAUCUAGAUGUCCCUAGUGCAAGGAGCAAGCUCAUCUAAACAUCUUCAAGUUUUUGAUAAUUUUUAUUCUUCAAAAUGGAAACAGCACAUGCCUAGCAAGUUUUUCAACUUUUUCGGUUUUUCCCAUCCUACAUUUAUUCUCUACAUUUUUUUUUUCAUGGUCUAGGCUAUUAUAUAGUUGUGUUGUCUUAUUGAUUACUUACUUGGAGUUAUGUCUAAUGUUUUGGGUUUUUAUCUGGAUCUAGAUGUUCUACUGUUGCAGCAUGGACUGGUUGGUGUUUUCGUAGUUCAUUUGCUACAUUGUCUUGGUUGCCCUCUUUUAGGUUUUAUCAUUUUAUAAUUAUUUAUCCAAUAAUUUGAGGCUGACUUGAAACUCCAUAGUAAUAGUCUCCCUUCAAUUCUACUCUCCAUACCCAUAUGCUUUUCCUGAGGGUGCUUGCUCACAACGCACUUUUCUUUUUUUCUCUUUUCUUCCAUGAGCUAGAGAGUGGGACCUCGUAGGUUUCUAAAGACUACACCACCUAAUAGUAAGAUGAGCAUAUCUCCUAAGAUUAUAUAGAUAAACACAAAUCAAAAUAUUCCCAACUCACCCAACCUAACCAUCAGCAGAUGAAUUUUGGUUAUUUUCAACAAUUUCCUUAACAAACACAUCCACAUGUAUAUUUCCUUCAAUAUAUGAGUUCCACAGAAUUUUUCUAGGCUAAAGUCAGUAUAAGAGUCCAGACAUGAUUAAAGAAUUUCACAAGCAUAAAAAGAAUAAAGCACACAUAAUGUGAAGGAAAAAAUGUAAAGCAGCUUUACUAAAAAUCUUUCUUGUAGAAUAUCUCCCACUUGGCUUAAAAGACUAUUUUUUUAUUAUUCUUAAGUCUCAUACUGUCUAUAUGCUUAUUGAACAUUUCCUGAUGAAUGGCUUUUGUUAAAGGAUCUGCCAUCAUAUCAUGGCUAGGUUGAUAUUCCAUGCAAAUUUCUUUUUUCUUUAGCGUAUCACGAAUAGAACAAUAUCUUCCUUCAAUAUGCUUGCGCUUUGAAUGGAACUUGGGAUCCUUUGUGAUAGCAUUUGCUGCCUGAUUUUCACAGGAAAGAGUAACUGAUUUCUUUAAUCCUUCCACAACCUUUACUUCUAAAAAUUCUUUUAGCCAAACUGCUUUAUUGGAUGCUUCUGAACCUGCAAUGUACACUACUUCCAUUGAAGAUAAUGCAGCAGAUGACUAUUUUCUACUAACCCUGAAACUACUCCAUCAAACAUGAAGAUAAAUCCUAAAGUUGAUUUCCUUUCAUCUAAAUCACCUUGCUGAUCAGCAUCUGUAUAAUCCUGCAAUUUCAAGUCUGUACUUGUGUCAACUUAUAGAUCUUUAGUGCCUUUGAUAUAUUUCAGAACACAUUUAACCAACUUUCAAUGUUGUAUUUCAGGGUUACAUUGGUAUCUACUACGUAAUCCAACAACAAAAUUGAGAUCCGGUCAUGUGCAUAACAUUGCAUAGAUUAGACUUCCUAUGACAAAGGUAUAAAGAAUCUUUACCAUCUUGAUUUUUUCCUCAAGAAUUUUAGGUCACAUUUCUUCAUUAAAUUUAUUCCCAAGACAAAUGAUGUCUCUCCUAAGUCAUUCAUAUCAAUGUUCAUUAAUAACCAGGCUUUGGUGUCAGACAACAUAGGCAUAUUAUUACCUGCAAUUAAUAUAUCAUCACAUAAAGUGAUAGGAGUGCAGUGUUCCUGCCACUUACCUUUGUGUAGAUGCAGAAUGCAGCGAUCGCCUUCUGUCAUAGAAACCCAAAAGCAUUAAUAGCCCUAUCAAGGCUAGACACCUGUCUUAGCCUAUGCAAGGCUUUCCACAAUUUGAAAUUUUGGGUUCUUUCAUUUCUCAAUAAAACCUUCAAACUGUAACAUAUAUAUGCCUUCUUCCAUCUCUCCAUCCAGAGAAAGCUGUUUUGGCAUCCACUUGCUAAACUUCAAAAUCAAAUUGAGCUACCAAAGCCCCCAAAAUGUGAAUUAGUGUAAAUUUGGCUACCAGUAAAAAGUUUCUACAAAAAAUUUAUCCUUCCUUUUGGUGUAUCCUUUUGCUAAAGUCUUGCCCUAUAUUUAUAAAUGGUUCCAUCUGACAUAAGCUUUCUUUUAAAAAUCCAUUUACAACCAAUUGGUUUGCGAUCUUGAGAUCGAUCCACUAAUUACCAAACCGCAUUCUUCAUUAUUAAGUUCAUUGUCUCAUGCACUGGUUCCACCAUAGUUUUGAUUCGAGAUUUUUGAUAGCCUCAUGAUAAGUUGUGGGGGUUCUCCUUCAUAAUUCUCUAUUCUGGGGUAUAGUUCCCCUAAGAAGGUAGUGUUGGUGAGGUAUUUUGGUGUUCUUCUAGUUCUUUCACUUCUUCAUGGAGGUAUGCUGCUUUCUACAAGUGAGGGUUGAGCUUUAUCUAAUUCCACAUGAAUCCUCUUUCUUUAUGUGAAAAAAGCAUCUUACAAAAAUGUAGCAUCUCUACUUUCAAUAAGACCAUUAUUUUCAGCAUCAUAAAAUUCAUAGCCUUUGGAUACCUUCGAGUAUCCAAUACAUGUUGCUGGAAUACUUUCAGGAUCCAACUUGGUUCUAUUUCCAUGUGGAACUCAAACACGUGCAUUACAACCCCUCAUAGCAAUAUCACUCAAGUGUGGUUUCCUACCAGUCUAUAAUUCAUAAAAGUGGCAGCAGUAAAUUUAGAAGUCGCAUGAUUUAAAUGUAAGCAGUUGUCUGAAGUUCUUCUCGCCAAAACUUAAGAGGAGCUGAUGCUUAGGCCGUCAUGGAUCUGACCUUGUCUAAUAGCAUUCUGUUCCUUCUCUCAGCAGCUCCAUUUUUUCAUGAGAAUCAAUUUUCAUCUUAUAUGACUCAAGCAUAGGUUCAUCAGAAGUUCCCAACACACAAUGCAAGAUCUUGCUAUUUGCACUCAUAGAAUAUGAAUAAGAAAUAUCAUCAGAAGAACUUGAGGCAUUAUUAGAAUUGAAAGAAAAAAGAUGCAACUAAUCAACUAAGCAAGCACAGAAACAAAAUCACCAUUCUUCCUAACAACUGCCUUUCCCUUGUUCGGGGUUGCUACAAAAUCGUGCAUGUCUAGCUUCGGAACAGAAGUUAAAUUCCUUCACAUGCUGGGAGCAUACAAAGUUUCCUUCAAAGAAAGAGAGCCACCUUAAUGUAAUUGAAGUUUGAAAGUUCCAAUUCCAAAAUUUCAGCUUUUGCAUUAGUUCCCAUAUAAACAAAUGCUAGCCAUUACAAACUUGUUUUAGACACACUCAAAACCUUCUUUCAUGAUAGCAAAAUUGGAGGUAGCUUCAGAAUCUAACAACCAAAUUUUUGUCCUCGUAGCAGCUACCAAUGAUUCAGUGAAAACACAAGCAUAAUGACAAAAGACCUACCAGAUUCCUUUUGAUCAUUAUGAUUCGGCUUCUUCCUUGGUUUUGAGCAUUCAGAUCUGAAAUGGCCUAAUGAUCUGUAAUUAUGGCAACUAAACUUGCUUUUAUCUGCAGCUCCUUAUAUAUUCCACAUCCAUAUUCUUUGAAAGGUCUCUAUCACGCCAAUUACGUUCCUUUCUUUUCCGGUCUGUUCUUUUUGCGUGUGCUUAUUUUGAUGACUCGGCAAUGUGACUCUAGUAAAAUAUUUGAUGAUCGCUCCCUCAAUAUAUUGCCAGUGAAAUAUUUACUCAUAAGCAUCUGAAUUUUAGUUACAGAAGUUCAUGCAAAGCUUUUAUCCAAUGCUUUCAUCAUUUUCUUUGCAGUAUCAUAUUUCUCACAUUCCAAAGCCAAGUAAUCAGCCAACCCUACAUAUAAAUUCGAGUCAUCUUGUCAUCCUUUUCCCAUGAUCUAUAUGCUUCUAUCUCGUCAUGUUUGGCUUGCUUUGUAGGUUCAUUAGGAGGAUUCUCUGUUUGCACAUGCUCAUAAUCAUCUUCAGCAACCACAUGUUAAAGCUUCCGUUUCCAACUUAUAUAAUCGGAUCCGUCAAACUUAUGUUUUUUAAGCAUUUCAGUUAAAGCACACUCAGAAAUCAUUGCUUCCAAUGUAGAUAAUCUAAAGUAAAGAGUAAUGGAAAGAGUAUACCCAGGUUAACGCUCCUCUCAGAGAGAAUCUAUCUUUGAUGAUGAAUGAAGAGAUCCAAGAACUGUGGUGAGAGAUAAGCUUCUGCUUUCACUCAGGCAUUUCCACAAACAUGUCAUGUGCAGUCUUCGAACAUCGAACAUCGAACAUCAACAGUGGAUGACCCUUUGCCCUCAUAGCAAAUGCAGCAACAUAGCAAAUCCCCUUGGUGAUACGUAAUGCCCCAGGACGCAAUGGUGUAAAUCCAACACAAAAUUGCAAGUUAUGUUCAAGAAGCAUGCACAACCCUCUUGUGCAUUCUGUCAAACACGUGGUGAGUAAAACAAGAUAACACAUAUAGAUUUACAUUAACAAGUACGCACAACCGUCUUAUGCAUCCUCUAUAAAAUAAGAUAAACCAACUAUGUAAUAUUUUUGAGUUAAAAUAUGCAUAAGUAAUAUGCUAAGUAAACAGUAAUACUGACAUAGUUAAUUUAGUGUAGAUGGGUACUCAUGUGAAAUUAAUAUCUAGAAAUGUGAGGCCUCCAUUCUUAAGUAUAUAACAUCCCAUAUCUCAUGCCUAGGUGAUUCAUUAUCAUAUGCCUCUCAAAAUAAGUCUAAUGUGUACUAACUUUCAUAACUGCUAUAAUGUAAUACUUGGGAAAACAAUUUAACCAUGCUAGUUUCAUUAGUGUCAUCCAACUAGUAAAUAUGGUCCCAUGUACACGUGUGAGUCACAUAUUGUGCAGGAGUUACAUGAUAUCUCAUUGUUCCCUAUUCACAUAGGAUGAACAGACAUUUGCAGCCGAUUCCAUCUGACAUCCCCUAGCUAUCUCCCAAUACCAUGUAUUUGGGCAAGCAUAUUUCUAUCAUUAAGUGUGUUCCAUAAAAUUAUUUCUGGCACAAGUCAGUAUAAGAUUCCAAACAUGAUUGAAGAAUUUCACAAAUAUAUAUAUAUAUAAAAGAGCUAAAAUAAUGUGAAGCAAACAAUAAAGUAGCUCUACUAAAAUUCUAAUAACAUUAAACACUGCAUUGAAUCCACAGAAGUGAGGUGGAAACAAUUAAUAAUGGCACGAAAGUUGGAAGGGAGGUGGUGUGCAGGGAGAGUGGAGAAACUACAGAAGUGAGGUACGGUGGCGUGGGAAGGGUGGAAAUAUUAAUAAUAAAAGAGAUUGGGAUAGAGCAAGCCAAAAUCAGAAGAGCACGGGAGGGGACCGGCGUAAGCACGGUUGGUGGGCCUGCGGGAAAAGAAAGGAGAAUUUUAAGACCACGGCACAAAUCUAGGCUGGCGCGUGGCGACACAGGCGCUGAUCCGAAGCUUCACACUUCUGAGAAAACGACGGGACUGAACGGUCUGACUUUGACACCAUAUUGUAAUAUUUGGGAAAAAAAAAAAAAAUAGUAUACAUAUAUUUUUGCCCAUCUUUUACAAUAUAGAAAAACAAGUUUUUACGUAGAUUUGGAGGCUGACAAAAUUUGGUAAGUACCGACUAAAUUUGGCAUAAUGUUUAACUAAGUUUAGCACGAUGUUCUACAAUGAUUCUAACAUAAUUUAUAGCAUGGUAGUUGGCUUAUGUUGCUAACGUCAAUUAUAGCAAACUACAGUAAUCAUAUGCUUUUAUCACGUUGCUUGUAUCUUGGUGUGGCUGCUGUUAGUUGUUGGAAUUGUAAAAUUUUAGAUGCUUUGCAUGGUAAGCUGGUUUGGGGGGAAAAGGUGAACCGAUUAGAAUAAAGGAGCUGUUGGUGCGUUUCUUGUUGGCUAGUAGUGCUGCUUCAAUGGUUUUGUGAGCAGUCCUUCAGCUAUGUAACUAAAUACUCAGUAUAAUUUUUGCAGUCAAUAAGUGAUUUUAUUCUAGUAUUGUUUCUUUGCUGCAUAUAUUAUAAUUCUAGUGUAAAAUUUGGUAAAUCAUUAUUUUGAGAAAAACCAAUUGCAAAACCAAUUGCAUUAUGGUUAUUUGAGUUUAUCAAGUCUUCUCCAACAAAAUUUAGAUAUAUUUGAUUUUAAUAGUGAAAAGUUCUGCCAAGUUUUCUCCAAGUCAUGAUGCUCUAGCCAAAGCUUUAGUGGAAGUAAGAGAGAUUCAAAAUUGUGACGUUUGUUGCAAGGCAGACAAAUACAUUGUAAGGUUCAGAAGAAUAUAUGUUUGUAAUUGUUAUCUGGCAGCAAUGAUUGUAUAUUAAUGUUUUCCUACUUUUUUGAAGAUUCUACUGAAAGUACCAUGUCCCAGGAAAAAUAAUGACAAAACUAUCAAUUUCUCGAUGCUGCUAUUGUUUGAAAUGUCAAGGGUUUUCCUUUGUUGUUAUUCUAUGCAUAGGGCCACAUCAAGUGGCAUCUAGGGUUGACCCACAUCUGGUCUUACUUAAUAUGACCUAAUCUAAUCCUUGUAUCCAGACUUUUACUCUAGCUGAAUCUCUUCUCUAAUUAAAUUUUUGAAUCUUUCUUGGUCCGAUCUAUAGAGAAUUGUCAUUUGAAAUCUUAUUCUGUUAAUCUGGAGACAGAUAGCAUAUGUUAAUUGCGACAGCAUGAUAAUCUACUCGGGUUCUCACUCACCAAUAACAUGCCUCUUUAGGUUCAUUUUAGUCACAUAUUAGCUCGGUGGUCCAGCAUGGGGAACCUCUUGAUAAGUAGGAUGAAGUCGGUUGGUAUCCUUUUUAUUUCACAAGCUACAUUUUGUAAUUCAAUCCCUAUCAUUCCAAUUACCUCAUAUGAUUAUUGAGUAUUGCACUACCAAAGCCUUAAUCGUAUGAUGUCAUCACAUGUUAGAACCCUUGAUCAUGGCAAAAAUCCUUGUAUAAGAUCCAUUCUUGUAAAAUUCCUUUUCGAAAAUAAUUAUAUAUUAAUCAUAAUAAUUUUGUGAAUCUAACUAUUUCCAAAACCUUUCACAUUACUGCUUGAGCCUGAGAUAUUAUAUGAUUGAUUAUAUAUAUCUCUAUUCUAAUAUAGAUACUAUGCCAUUAUGAUGAUUUCAAUUUGAGAUAGCUAGAUCUUCACUUGCAUCUAUAAACAACUAUGCUAUCUGUUAAAGAUAUAGUACAAGGUAUCAUUGUUGAUACAUGAGUUUGGCUACAAAUUUACUAAUCUCUAAGAUAUAGUAAAAUAUUCUAUCAUUCAAGUUAAGGUACCACUUGCAAGCUCGUGCAUGUAGUUCAUACUUCUAGUACUUUAGGAGGAGGAUUGCUAGUGUCAAUUGUUUAGUAUGAUAGAACACCUGAUUAUUUGAUAGGAUAGAAUACCUGAUUGUCAGUGUGGAGUCUCCCUCAGUGAAGGAAGAAGUCUAUGAAGUCACUCUCCCCCAAAAGUCUUAUAGGUGCUAACUAUAAAAAAUUUUCGAAUACCUUGAUGUAUCUGAUCUUUCCCGUGGAAUGCUUUGUCCACUUGGAUAAACGCAUACAAUACUAGUACUUUAUGACACAUAUGUUACACUAUUCAUGUAAUAUGGAAUAGAAAAAAAUCAUGCAGUAAGUAUACACAUACUUACAAUUUACAUGAAAAUAGCCUUCAGGACAUACACUAUUCUAAUAGGUUGAUUGUACCACAUUAUUUUGGACAUUGUGCUCAGCAUUGCUUUUCUGAGGCAUGGUAGAAGGUGUGUUGCUUUGGUUAACCCUUAUUUAAUGAUACUCUUGUUGAAGGUAAAAAUUUAUACUACUUGCAAAGUUUAGCUACUUGCAAUUCCAGGUACUUCAACUUCCAUCUUUGUCUCGACCAACCGUUCGAAAAAAAUAAUAGAGGCAUUGUUGCUCAACACCAGCAACUAGUUUUUUGUUCCAACUCUAUACAAGUUGCAAUAUUAUUGUAUAGCUAUGGUUAUAUUUAAAGUGCAUUGCUCAUUUGUUUUGCUUUCUGCAAUGGAUCUUGUGAGCAUGGAUAAAUAUGAGUGUUGUUUUUAAAGAAGUAAUGCUAGUUUGCUUAGAAAUCCUUCAUCUUUUAUGCACCCAACUGUUCCACAACAUCCAUAUCUUUUGCUUUUUUUUAGCAUUACUUUUUAUCCUAGUUUAUAUGAUUACAAAGUAUAUUUAUGAUGCUUCAUUUGACGGACAAAAACGAAGGUCUAUAAUUGAUAUUUUUCCUUCCCUUUUCUUGUCAUCACAUAUCAUGACAAUAGUUAUAUAUAAGUGCCUCUUCACAUAUAGACAAAAAUAUUUAUCUCUUCUCUGAAGAACAAAGUAUUAUACUUAUUUGUUACUAAUUACAGAAUAUUAUAGAAGAUGAAGAUGAUUUGGAGAAGUGUUAUAUAUGUAUGUAUGUAUAUAUGUAUCACAUACAAUAUUACACAAUGUACUAGAUGGCUACAUUUCAUAUUUACAAUUAGACGAAGUAUGGCUGACCCCAUGAUUUUACUUCUUGUGUUAUAGAAAUGUUGUACUGGAAUACAUUAUGCAAAUUCCAUUAAGAGUAAAAUGUGAUUGUUCUUCUCCUUUUUCCUCUUGAGAUAGGAUGGCAAGGAGAACAAGUUUAUGACGAGGCUGGAUCGAUGCAUGAGUGUGCCACUGGUUUCCACAUCGGAAAGGAUAGAUAGUAGUAGUUUCUAUUAGCUUGACGGUGACCCAAUGGGUUGAUUUUGAUGAGUAUAAAAUAUCUAGUAUAAUACUAAUUGUGUUGUUGGAGUAGUAAUUUGUUUUAUAGAAAGCUCAAUGAGGUUGAAAGGUUAGAAAAACAUGCAGAAGUUUUUUGAAGAGUUUUGUAGUAGAUGAGUCGACCCUGAAGAAUCAUAAGUCAACUCUUGUCGAGCACGAGUCGACUCCAGAAUAGCCGCAUAUAAAAAAUAGAAAGCAAUAAAAACUAGCCCUCUCAUGAGUCGACCUUAAUAGAUCACAAGUCGACUCUAAAGUUAGAUGAGUCAACCCCACAGUAAGCAUAGGAGAAAGAUAGACCGUAGUAAAAAUGAGUAAUUUCUCGAGUCAACUCAUCUGUACCGGGCAAUAGUAAUAGCUAGUUUUUUUGCAAAACCAGAACGACCAUAUUCACUCUCAAUAGCUAUUUCAACCUCUCUAAUAGCUAGAAAUAUCUUCAACUAAUUUUUGAAAAUAUAAAUGCAUGGAAAUAUCCAAGGGAUACAAGAGGAAGAAAGGAGAUUAAGGAUGAUAAGUGGAUGAGGUAAAGGAGAAGGAAUACAAAGUUAAUCACUACUUUUAGAGCUUCAACUUGAGGAUCAAUUUAAGAAGUGACUAUUCAAAGCCUCCACCCACUUGAAAUAGAGCUUUCAAAUGUUUAGAGAGAGCUUUAACUGUCAAUCAUUGAGAGCAAGUAACAAAGAGAAAGAAAAGGAGUUGAAUAGUAUUCACCAAGAUUCCAACUUUUAGAACAGUCAAACUUGAGCUGCAACAGCAUUAAUCCAACCUCUAUGGAGGUCAUUUUGUAUAUAUUUUCUAUCUUUCUUUUAUGCACGAGAUUAGAAAAUCUUAUGUGGGGUUUUUGGUGUGGUUGACACUAUAAAAAAUCAGCAAUCUUGUAAGAUUUGGCUGUACCCGUGGAUAGCUAGAUUGUGGUCGAUUGUCUUAAAAAAUCGACUAAGUUUUACUAAGCUUGAAAUUCGACAAAGUGUUCCUAAGUGUUGGAACUCAAGGUUGGUUUAGUUAUAUUAGCAAAACAGUUUAGUUUUAAUUGAUUGAUAGAAAAAUCAACUAAGUUUAGUUGUGAGCUUGGAAAACCACUGUGUUGUAAUCUUAUUUAUAGAUUAUAGUAAAAAUUUUUUGGUAUUUGAUUUGUUUGUGCUUGUUCUUUUCUUCUACUAAUUACUCAUUUUGCUGCGCAUACUUAAGUUUAGAAUAGUUUUGCUUAAGCUUUGUUUAAGUUUGUAAAAAUUUUUGAAAACCUAAUUCAACCCCCCCCUCCCCCUCCCCCUCCCUCUCUCCCUCAUCUUGGUCAACAAUUAGUAUCAAAGUAGGUGCUCUUUUAUCUUUUGUAAACCUAACCGUCUAAAGCUUAAGAUCUAUAUGACAGCCCUUGAAAUGCCCUUUGCUAAAAGGCACUCCUUUGUUAGACCUUCUCUUUUUAGUAGGUUUGAUUACACCUAUUGGAUAGCCCGAAUGAAAAUUUUUAUUCAAGCACAAAGGUAUGAUUUAUGGAAUAUAAUAGUACAUGGGCUACACACAUCCACUAAAAUUAUAAAUAGAGUUCAGGUUCCCAAACACGAAAGUGAAUGGGAUAAUAAUGAAAAGAAAUUAGUUCAAAUGAAUGCAAAACAAUGAAUACACCUUAUUGUGUACUUAAUAAAAAUAAAUUUAAUAGAAUGUGUACAUGUUGUUCCACUAAAAAAGUUUGGAAUAGAUUAGAAAUAAUUUAUGAAGAAACUAACAAAGUGAAAGAAUCAAAAAUUAAUAUGCUAGCACAAAUUAUGAAAUAUUUAAAAUAGAAUAAUAUGACUCUAUUUCUAAAAUAUUUUCAAGAUUUUUAAAUAUUAGUAAUAUUUUGAAAUUAUUAGAAAAAUCUUAUACUAAAACCAAUCAUGUGAGGAAGAUUCUUAGAGCUUUGCUAAGAUCUUGGAAAAUAAAAGUGAUAGCUAUUCGAGAGGCAAAGAAUCUAAAUGAGCUAUCCUUGGAGGAGCUCUUAGGUUCCCUCAUGACAUAUGAGCUCAUCAUAAUAAAUCAAGAAGAAGAGGACAGCGGUGAAAAAAAGAAAGUUUUAGCAUUCAAAUCCUCCAAUCAGGAAGAUAAAGUGAAAAAAAGAAGCUAGAAGAAAGAAGUAAAGCUUCAGCUAAGGGGGAGCUGAAAGAAAAAAAGAGAUAAGAGAAAAAAAAAAAGCUUCAGUUAAGGGGGAACUAUGCAAAAAGAAAAAGAAGAAGGCAACUUGGAGCGACAACGAAGAUUUCGGCUCUAAGAAAAAGGAAGAACUAAAGGUAAACAACUUAUGCUUCAUGGCACAAGAAGUUGAGGCAAAACUAGGAUUCCUGCUCAGCUCGGCCACCUCGGCUAUUGAGCCCUGAUAAAUAGGGCUCCUCUAUAAGGGAAGCAGCUCGGCCUCCCAUUGCGUUAAAGGCGCACCCAACUCCACCACAUGCCAACUUGUUAUGGUAUGUCCUUAAGGUUAUGCCAUGUCAGCAGUUUGUUACAGUAUGACCCUAAGUUUGCAAGGAUGCGAUCUUGAAAGAUUUGGGAUGCUAGCUAUAAAUAUGUCAAAAUGAACUCAACAAAAGGAAGAUAAUAAUCUGAACCUGGGGGAGACACUAUCCCUCUAUUCUUCUUUUCUUUCUUUCUUGGUUUUUUAUUAAAGAAACUUUUACUGACUUAAGCAUCGGAAGAUCCAACCGGAGCCAAUCCAUCGAGCCUUCAUCCUUUGUUUGUUNNNNNNNNNNNNNNNNNNNNUUGUAGGUCCACAGAAGCGAUCCACAUUAGUAUUCCGGGAUCCGGCGACAAUAGAUUGGCUUCAACUAUAGGAGCGAAAGGAGAAAUGCCAUGAAGCAUAGAAGGAACAAUCACUCGAGAGUCAAUCAACAAAAAUCCAGUGGUUCUCUAGACAACCCUCUAAUGUCUCUAUCGCUGAGGCCAAGUGCAAACCACCAAUGUCAGGCAAUGGCUUGUUGGCUCAAUAAGUGCAAGCUCUCAUGGUAAUGGAAAGAUCUGCAGUGGUACGUCGUCCCACUUUUGGCAGAUCUGCUAAAUCACUAAGAUGAUCCUAUCUAGGGCAGCAACCAUCUUCACCCUUAAGCAUCAUGAGAGAGGCCGAAAGUAGAGCCGCUAUUAUUCCCUUCUAAAGCUAACUCAGUAAACUCUCUCCACAUCGAUGUAAUACCAAGCCCAAAAUGGGCCAUAAUGGACUAAAGUCGGCAGGGCCUGUCGACUUCAAUCCAAUUUGGAUAGGAGCGGAACAAGGAUCACGAUCGUGAUCCCCUGCUCUGCUUUCUUCGGGCGCGACGGGAGCAGCGGCAUCGUAGCCAUUCCGUGGCUGCCUUGUGGCUACUUGAGCGGUCACCGAUCAUGCUUAACCGCUGUAGGAAUCGCAGCAAUACAUCAUUUGAAAGCUCUCUAUAAAACCUCCUCUUCCCUUCCUCUAGAUCCUCCACAAAGGACCUCCUACCUCUUUCUUCCAUCCGUCCGGCAGCUGACAUACUGUUACAACUGUGUUCUGCUAAGCCCUCUCCUCCCUUCUCUCUCUCUCCAUUUCCUUCACUCUAGGGCUCCUUCUCUCCAUUUCGAGUGCCACCGCUAGCCCCCGAACCGAGCUGCCCUCGGCGGAGACCUGCCGCCUCCAUCGAUCAUCCCUUCCCUCUGCUCUUCGAUCUGUAGCCAAAUCAAGUUUUCUUUUUAUUUCUCCUAUUCUGGAUCCAAACCGAGGAAUCGAUUUUUCCCUCUUCUCGUCGGCCGCCGCAGCAGCCGUUGGCCGCUACUACUGUCAACGACUAGCCAUCAUCCCCCAGGCCGGCCACUGCCGGAACCUCUCCUCUCCUCUCUUCCCUCUUCUUCCUCUCUUCUUCUCCUCCUUCUUCCUUGUGUUCUCAAUGAGAUGAAGAACCCCAAUUUUGGGUUGUAAUUGGGGCAUGAUUAUUCAUUUGGGCCCCGUUUGAAUUGGGCCCAGUUCAUUCAUUUUGGGCCUUGUUGGGUCGUGCUCAUUUUGGACCCUAUUGGGUCUUAUUCACUUUGUUGGGACAUGCCCAUUUUGGGCCCUGUCCACUCUUUGGGUCGUGCCCAUUUUGGGCCUUGUCCACUCUUUGGGUCGUGCCCAUUUUCGUCCCUAUAGGCUCAGUUCAGUCAUUUUGGGCCCUGUUGGGUGAUGCCCAUUGUGGGCCAAGCUUAGGAUCAAUUCAGACAUUUUGGGCCCAAUUGGGUCGUGCUCAUUAUGGACCCAUCAUGUUCACCCUAUUGGGCCGUGUCCAUAGUGGGCCCUACUGCGCCUUGUUUGCCCAUUGUGGGCCUAUUCAACCAUUGUGGGCUCGCUCAUCCGUUAUGGGCCCGUUCACCCAUUAUGGAUCCAUUCACCCAUUGUGGGCCCAUUCAUCCAUUGUGGGCCUGUUGACCCAUUAUGGGCCUAUUAACCCAUUGUGGGCUCGUUCACCCAUUGUGGCCCUUUUCACCCGUUGUAGGCCCAUUCAUCCGUUGUGGGCCCAUUCAUCCGUUGUGGGCUCGUUCAUCCGUUGCGAGCCGUAUUCAUUUUGGGUUCUAUUCGUCCCUUGUGGGUCAUGUUCAUUUUGGGUCAUGAUCAUUCAUUUUGGGCCCUACUCAUCUAUUAUUGGUCGUAUUCCUUUUGGGCCUUGUUGGGUCUUGUUCAUCUAUUCUGGGCCAAGUUUGCUCAUUAUGGACCAGAUACAUUAAUUGAUCCAGUCGACCUAGGCCAAACAUUUCUUUUUCGAUUUUGGUCAAAUCGGACUAAAUAGGCCAAGCCUCUGAUUAGACCUAACUAAGUGGAUCAAACCCAAAAGCUCAAAUAGCCUUAGAUUAUGUAUCUCUUUCUCUCUCUGAGCAAGCCCACGUUGUGAUUAGAUCUAGACCUUUCCUCUAAGGGUCAAUCCGAAAUAUUCGAACCAAGCCCAAGACCAUGAUCAAACCAAAUUUAGACCCGAGCUGAGAUUCUCUCUCCUCCUUUUUC
Molecule: long non-coding RNA, 18312 nt
Filed under: Phoenix dactylifera (date palm)
Lineage: Eukaryota; Viridiplantae; Streptophyta; Magnoliopsida; Arecales; Arecaceae
Description: long non-coding RNA (PDAC_LNC007064)
Source: RNAcentral